Lepus europaeus (European hare) is the source of this 207-nucleotide long non-coding RNA. RefSeq lists it as uncharacterized. The record is from RefSeq and is a predicted model, not a curated record. Lineage: Eukaryota; Metazoa; Chordata; Mammalia; Lagomorpha; Leporidae. The transcript has 3 exons.
CCGGAGCUCGCCGCCGCCGCGGACGCCGCGGGCUCGUCAUGGCGUCACCUGAAAGCCACUUUGGAGGGCGGAGUUUUCAGGGGAAGGGAGGAAGAGGAUGAGAAAAGGAAGAGGAGGAGAGGAGGCUUGGCAGCUCAGAAAUGAACCACAUCAUAUCUGAUAUUUCAUUAGCCACGCCAAGACACAAGGCCAUGCUGAAGUUCAAGG